GCCAGGCAUGGUGGCACAUGCCUGUAAUCCCAGCUACUUGGGAGGCUGAGGCAGGAGAAUUGCUUGAAUCCGGGAGGUAGAGGUUGCAGUGAGCCGAGAUCAUGCCACUGCACUCCAGCCUGGGUAACAGAGCGAGAUUCCGUCUCAA
Molecule: small RNA, 148 nt
Filed under: Pongo abelii (Sumatran orangutan)
Lineage: Eukaryota; Metazoa; Chordata; Mammalia; Primates; Hominidae
Description: Metazoan signal recognition particle RNA (ENSPPYG00000039132.1)
Source: Rfam by way of RNAcentral